Long non-coding RNA from Thalassophryne amazonica, 474 nucleotides. RefSeq lists it as uncharacterized. The transcript is spliced from 3 exons. Lineage: Eukaryota; Metazoa; Chordata; Actinopteri; Batrachoidiformes; Batrachoididae. The record is from RefSeq and is a predicted model, not a curated record.
AACAGAGCAGAUCUUUUUCUGUCAAGUUACUACUGUUUUCUGAAAAACAACUUUCACAUGUUUUCUGGAGAGUCUAAAGGAUUACAGUGUGUGAUGUCUUAAGUUCCUUCUUGAUACUGGUUGAAGUACAAAACAACUAUAAGAUGUGGACUCUACAUGGCCUCUGUGGCAUUUUGAUCAGCCUUUACUGUGUCACAAAAGUAAAAGGGUAUGGCAAUGGAUUCUUCCCGAAUGUAUGUAAGACAAUGAUGCCUGCACACAAGAGAAACGGUGUGCUCAUCAGUCCUCAGGAGGGACAAGCACCGUUUCACAUGAGGUUUCAACAUGACAAAGAAUUUGUCACAGUUUCCCUAAUCAGCAAUUCCCCCAGUACCUUCAAAGGAUUUAUGUUGGAGGCACGAUUAAGUAACCAGUCUUUGUUUGGAGAUUUUAUUAAGACUGACCCCCAGACUCAGGUACUGACGUGCCAGGAUA